AACGAACGCUGGCGGCAUGCCUAACACAUGCAAGUCGAACGAGACCUUCGGGUCUAGUGGCGCACGGGUGCGUAACGCGUGGGAACCUGCCCUUAGGUUCGGAAUAACUCCCCGAAAGGGGUGCCAAUACCGGAUAAUGUCUACUGACCAAAGAUUUAUCGCCCUUGGAUGGGCCCGCGUUGGAUUAGCUAGUUGGGAGGGUAAAAGCAUACCAAGGCGACGAUCCAUAGCUGGUCCGAGAGGAUGAUCAGCCACACUGGGACUGAGACACGGCACAGACUCCUACGGGAGGCAGCAGUGGGGAAUAUUGGACAAUGGGCGAAAGCCUGAUCCAGCAAUGCCGCGUGAGUGAUGAAGGCCUUAGGGUUGUAAAGCUCUUUUAACCGGGAUGAUAAUGACAGUACCGGGAGAAUAAGCUCCGGCUAACUCCGUG
RNAcentral lists this ribosomal RNA (433 nucleotides) under uncultured bacterium. RNAcentral's name for it is "partial 16S ribosomal RNA". It matches the Rfam family "Bacterial small subunit ribosomal RNA", at positions 29 to 507 of the family's 1533-position model. The record is from RNAcentral.